UACGUAGUGUGCAAGCGUUGUCCGGAAUUAUUGGGCGUAAAGAGCUCGUAGGCGGCUUGUCGCGUCGGCUGUGAAAACCUGGGGCUCAACCCCGGGCCUGCAGCCGAUACGGGCAAGCUAGAAUUCGGUAGGGGAGACUGGAAUUCCUGGUGUAGCGGUGAAAUGCGCAGAUAUCAGGAGGAACACCGGUGGCGAAGGCGGGUCUCUGGGCCGAUAUUGACGCUGAGGAGCGAAAGCGUGGGGAGCGAACAGG
Molecule: ribosomal RNA, 253 nt
Filed under: uncultured bacterium
Lineage: Bacteria
Description: partial 16S ribosomal RNA
Rfam family: Bacterial small subunit ribosomal RNA
Source: RNAcentral